UACAGAGGGGGCAAGCGUUAUUCGGAAUUAUUGGGCGUAAAGGGCGCGUAGGCGGCUUGGCAAGUGGAUGGUGAAAUCCCUCGGCUUAACCGGGGAACUGCGUCUGAUACUGGAUGGCUUGAAUCCGGGAGAGGGAUGCGGAAUUCCAGGUGUAGCGGUGAAAUGCGUAGAUAUCUGGAGGAACACCGGUGGCGAAGGCGGCAUCCUGGACCGGCAUUGACGCUGAGGAGCGAAAGCCAGGGGAGCGAACAGG
Molecule: ribosomal RNA, 253 nt
Filed under: uncultured bacterium
Lineage: Bacteria
Description: partial 16S ribosomal RNA
Rfam family: Bacterial small subunit ribosomal RNA
Source: RNAcentral